RNAcentral lists this ribosomal RNA (253 nucleotides) under uncultured bacterium. RNAcentral describes it as "partial 16S ribosomal RNA". It matches the Rfam family "Bacterial small subunit ribosomal RNA", at positions 524 to 776 of the family's 1533-position model. The record is from RNAcentral.
UACGGAGGGUGCGAGCGUUAUCCGGAAUUACUGGGUUUAAAGGGUGCGUAGGCGGCUUGAUAAGUCAGGGGUGAAAGCCUGUCGCUCAACGAUAGAAUUGCCUUUGAUACUGUAAAGCUUGAAUCGGGUUGAGGUCAGCAGAAUGUGGCAUGUAGCGGUGAAAUGCAUAGAUAUGCCAUAGAACACCGAUUGCGAAGGAAGCUGGCUGGGCCUGCAUUGACGCUGAGGCACGAAAGCGUGGGGAGCGAACAGG